AAUGUGCACCACUACCGUCAUCUAUAAAA
Molecule: small RNA, 29 nt
Filed under: Bombyx mori (domestic silkworm)
Lineage: Eukaryota; Metazoa; Arthropoda; Insecta; Lepidoptera; Bombycidae
Description: ovarian small RNA-10856
Source: RNAcentral